This 702-nucleotide ribosomal RNA is filed under the name uncultured bacterium. RNAcentral's name for it is "bacterial SSU rRNA". It matches the Rfam family "Bacterial small subunit ribosomal RNA", at positions 59 to 762 of the family's 1533-position model. The record is from RNAcentral.
CAGUCGAACGGGAAAUAUUUCAUUGAGACUUCGGUGGAUUUGAUCUAUUUCCAUUGGCGGACGGGUGAGUAACGCGUGGGUAACCUGCCUUAUACAGGGGGAUAACAGUCAGAAAUGGCUGCUAAUACCGCAUAAGCGCACAGAGCUGCAUGGCUCAGUGUGAAAAACUCCGGUGGUAUAAGAUGGACCCGCGUUGGAUUAGCUAGUUGGUGGGGUAACGGCCCACCAAGGCGACGAUCCAUAGCCGGCCUGAGAGGGUGAACGGCCACAUUGGGACUGAGACACGGCCCAGACUCCUACGGGAGGCAGCAGUGGGGAAUAUUGCACAAUGGGGGAAACCCUGAUGCAGCGACGCCGCGUGAAGGAAGAAGUAUCUCGGUAUGUAAACUUCUAUCAGCAGGGAAGAUAGUGACGGUACCUGACUAAGAAGCCCCGGCUAACUACGUGCCAGCAGCCGCGGUAAUACGUAGGGGGCAAGCGUUAUCCGGAUUUACUGGGUGUAAAGGGAGCGUAGACGGUGUGGCAAGUCUGAUGUGAAAGGCAUGGGCUCAACCUGUGGACUGCAUUGGAAACUGUCAUACUUGAGUGCCGGAGGGGUAAGCGGAAUUCCUAGUGUAGCGGUGAAAUGCGUAGAUAUUAGGAGGAACACCAGUGGCGAAGGCGGCUUACUGGACGGUAACUGACGUUGAGGCUCGAAAGCGU